GUCUAUAAUUAGUCCCUAUUUAUAAGAGGAAGGACUAGGGUUUCUUGGGAGAGGGGGCACCUCCUUUCAUAUGCCAAAAAAUUUUUGGCAUCAAGAAAAAGCGGCAAACAAUUGGUGUGAGAAAUCAGAUCUAAUUUCUCACGCCCAUAUUACUCCACACCCAAGAGAGGAAUCUGGUUGUUGGUGCCACCUAGUUGCCAUAAAAAAUAGAUUAGAUUCCCUUCUUAUCUAUAUCCUUUGAUUUGAAUCAAAUUCAAACUAGAAAAGAGAUUAAGAGAUAAGGUGGAUGAGUCAUCAACCAAAUACCUGCCAA
RNAcentral lists this long non-coding RNA (313 nucleotides) under Elaeis guineensis (African oil palm). RNAcentral's name for it is "long non-coding RNA (EGUI_LNC056968)". Lineage: Eukaryota; Viridiplantae; Streptophyta; Magnoliopsida; Arecales; Arecaceae. The record is from RNAcentral.